AAUGAACGCUGGCGGCGUGCCUAACACAUGCAAGUCGAGCGCGAAAGUGGCUUCGGUCACGAGUAGAGCGGCGCACGGGUGAGUAACACGUGGACAACCUGCCUGAAUGUGGGGAACAACUCGGGGAAACUUGAGCUAAUUCCGCAUAAGUCCGAGCCAUUAUGGUGGCUUGGGGAAAGACCGCCUCUCCUUGGAAGCGGUUGCAUUCAGAGGGGUCCGCGGCUGAUUAGCUAGUUGGUGGGGUAAUGGCCUACCAAGGCAACGAUCAGUAGCCGGCCUGAGAGGGUGAUCGGCCACACUGGAACUGAGACACGGUCCAG
Molecule: ribosomal RNA, 320 nt
Filed under: uncultured bacterium
Lineage: Bacteria
Description: bacterial SSU rRNA
Rfam family: Bacterial small subunit ribosomal RNA
Source: RNAcentral